AUGGAGGGAACUCUGAUGCAGCAACGCCGCGUGAGUGAAGAAGUAUUUCGGUAUGUAAAGCUCUAUCAGCAGGGAAGAUGAUGACAGUACCUGAAUAAGAAGCCCCGGCUAACUACGUGCCAGCAGCCGCGGUAAUACGUAGGGGGCAAGCGUUAUCCGGAUUUACUGGGUGUAAAGGGAGCGUAGACGGCGAAGCAAGUCUGAAGUGAAAAUCCGGGGCUCAACUCCGGAAGUGCUUUGGAAACUGUUUUGAUAGAGUGUCGGAGAGGUAAGUGGAAUUCCUGGUGUAGCGGUGAAAUGCGUAGAUAUCAGGAAGUACACCGGAGGCGAAGGCGGCUUACUGGACGAUAACUGACGUUGAGGCUCGAAAGCGUGGGAAGCAAACAGGAUUAGAUACCCUGGUAGCCCACGCCGUAAACGAUGAAUACUAGGUGUCGGGGGGCGAAGCCCUUCGGUGCCGUCGCAAACGCAAUAAGUAUUCCACCUGGGGGAGUACGUUCGCAAGAAUGAAACUCACAGGAAUUGACGGGGACCCGCACAAGC
This 543-nucleotide ribosomal RNA is filed under the name Oribacterium sp. oral taxon 102. RNAcentral's name for it is "bacterial SSU rRNA". It matches the Rfam family "Bacterial small subunit ribosomal RNA", at positions 371 to 930 of the family's 1533-position model. The record is from RNAcentral. Lineage: Bacteria; Bacillati; Bacillota; Clostridia; Lachnospirales; Lachnospiraceae.